RNAcentral lists this transfer RNA (74 nucleotides) under Anguilla anguilla (European eel). Its description in RNAcentral is "tRNA-OTHER". The record is from RNAcentral. Lineage: Eukaryota; Metazoa; Chordata; Actinopteri; Anguilliformes; Anguillidae.
GUGAGUGUAGCACAGUGGGUAAGGAACUGGGCUUGUAACCGAAAGGUCGCAGGUUCGAUUCCCGGUAGGGCACU